CCCGCUGAACUUAAGCAUAUCAGUAAGCGGAGGAAAAGAAACUAACAAGGAUUCCCUGAGUAACGGCGAGUGAAACGGGAAAAGCUCAAAUUUAAAAUCUGGCAUCCUUUGGGUGUCCGAAUUGUAAUUAAGAGGGUUUUCUUUUGACGAAGGUGAUGGCCAAAGUUCUCUGGAAAGGGACAACAAAGAGGGUGACAUUCCCGUCUGGGUCAUUGCCGGAGUCAGUAUAAAGGAGGCUCUAAGAGUCGGAUUGUUUGGGAAUGCAGUCCAAAAUGGGUGGUACAUUUCAUCUAAAGCUAAAUAUAUGCAAGAGACCGAUAGCGAACAAGUACCGUGAGGGAAAGAUGAAAAGAACUUUGAAAAGAGAGUUAAAUAGUACGUGAAAUUGUUAAAAGGGAAACGAUUGAGACCAGUGAUGUGGCGGUCCUUGAGCAUGUCUUUCGGGACAUGUGUUUGGGCUUGUCACGAGUCGACGCUUCUUUUGUACCUUGGAAAAGACGAAAGGAAAGAUGGCUCCAUCUUCGGGUGGCUGCUUUAUAGUCCUUACGGGAUACAGGGUGCGGGAGAAGACAGGUAGGGUCGUAAGGCUCACGUCGACAAAAUGGUCUUAAACGACCCGUCUUGAAACACGG
Molecule: ribosomal RNA, 632 nt
Filed under: uncultured fungus
Lineage: Eukaryota; Fungi
Description: eukaryotic LSU rRNA
Rfam family: Eukaryotic large subunit ribosomal RNA
Source: RNAcentral